This 219-nucleotide non-coding RNA is filed under the name Chelonia mydas (Green sea turtle). Its description in RNAcentral is "Eukaryotic small subunit ribosomal RNA". It matches the Rfam family "Eukaryotic small subunit ribosomal RNA", at positions 1228 to 1442 of the family's 1831-position model. Lineage: Eukaryota; Metazoa; Chordata; Testudines; Cheloniidae. The record is from Rfam by way of RNAcentral.
ACACAGCAGACAGAUUGACAGCUGUUUCUCAAUUCUGUGGGUGGUAGUGCAUGGCCAUUCUUAGUUGGUGGAGCAAUUUGUCUGGUUAAUUCCGAUAACGAACGAGACUCUGGCAUGCUAACUAGUUAUGUGACCCCAGAGGCGUCCAACUUCUUAGAGGGACAAGUGGCACAGACAAUCCAGGAAGUUUUUGGAGAGUGUUGGGGACAACUUCCUGAU